UCAGCUCAUCUGGAGGUAACAGGCGUGUAGCACCACGCAGUCACCGUGUCACUGCGGGUAACAGGCAUGGAUGAGCUACUGAGCCGCUUAUGUGGGUGAAGGAUAUCAAAGAGCAAAGCCACAGACCAAACACUCAAACAGACCAUAAUACCCUGCCUGGCGACGCUUGCAUCAACCAGCAAACAGCCGACAGCAGCGGGCAGAUUAGAGGGCUGCGUCAGGAGAGCUGUUCAGAAACUCAAUGACAUUCUUAAGACAACAGACAAGUCCGGGUGGUCUUGAUGCACUGUCUGCUUUGGAGAGGUGAAAAUCUACUCCGCAGCAACACGCCUUCUUGUCUUCACCGUCUUCCUCGCCACACUUUCAACUUUCAGCAAAAUGACAUCUUCAGGACACUUUGAGGUGAAAUUUAACUUUAUUUCUUUCAAUGCAUUGUCUGAUCUUUCCUGCACUCGAUACCACCGCUACUAAAGCAGGCCAGGAGCCAAACCCCUUAUCUAAACCCACCGUCGUCCACAGCCUAAUUCAAUCACAGCGGGAGUCAGAGAUUGCUGUCUUGUUUAAAGAAGACAAAACGUCCUUCUGAGUCCACAUUAAAGUUAUUAUGUUUGCAGGCAUGAAUGGGGUUGGGGCUGUACCAAGCAGUGAUCUGCAUUUGGUACAUCUUCAUGAUGAAGAUAGCAGACUUUACCCCUUUUUUCACUCCUCCUAAGAAGGCUUGGCAAGUUUUGAAUUCUAAAGCGCCCAUUCUCCUGAAAUAAAAAGAACUAGAGCAUAACUUUGAUCUGUCCUAGCAUGAAAUAUGAAGUAAACAACAAGAAAAUAAAAGAGAGCAGAUAGUCAAACUAAACGUGUGCUGUGGUUUCUUGAAGAAUAACGUAAAGAAAUAUGUGAGCAGUUUCACAUGUUGGGAUUUAGAACAUUUGAGUUUCAUUCAUUUCAGUUUGCUGACAGUCAUGUUGAGAUGUUUAAAUGUUAGAUCCUUAUAAAUGAUUGCUAACAAACGUAAUCAGAGGGAGAUUUUAACCAAAAACUAACCGUUUGCGUACAGCCAAGUAGUGAGGUUUAAA
Long non-coding RNA from Fundulus heteroclitus (mummichog), 1070 nucleotides. RefSeq lists it as uncharacterized. NCBI's taxonomy places the organism in Eukaryota, Metazoa, Chordata, Actinopteri, Cyprinodontiformes, Fundulidae. The record is from RefSeq and is a predicted model, not a curated record. The transcript has 2 exons.